ACGAACGCUGGCGGCGUGCCUAAUACCUGCAAGUCGAGCGGACGAAUCGAAAGCUUGCUUUUGAUUCGUUAGCGGCGGACGGGUGAGUAACACGUGGGCAACCUGCCCUGUAGACGGGGAUAACACCGAGAAAUCGGUGCUAAUACCGGAUAACACGAAAUGUCGCAUGACGUUUCGUUGAAAGACGGCGCAAGCUGUCGCUACAGGAUGGGCCCGCGGCGCAUUAGCUAGUUGGUGAGGUAACGGCUCACCAAGGCGACGAUGCGUAGCCGACCUGAGAGGGUGAUCGGCCACACUGGGACUGAGACACGGCCCAGACUCCUACGGGAGGCAGCAGUAGGGAAUCUUCCGCAAUGGACGAAAGUCUGACGGAGCAACGCCGCGUGAGCGAAGAAGGCCUUCGGGUCGUAAAGCUCUGUUGUUAGGGAAGAACAAGUAACGCAGUAACUGGCGUUACCGUGACGGUACCUAACGAGAAAGCCACGGCUAACUACGU
This 496-nucleotide ribosomal RNA is filed under the name uncultured bacterium. RNAcentral describes it as "partial 16S ribosomal RNA". It matches the Rfam family "Bacterial small subunit ribosomal RNA", at positions 29 to 506 of the family's 1533-position model. The record is from RNAcentral.